GAUGAACGCUGGCGGCGUGCCUAAUACAUGCAAGUCGAGCGAACGGACGAGAAGCUUGCUUCUCUGAUGUUAGCGGCGGACGGGUGAGUAACACGUGGAUAACCUACCUAUAAGACUGGGAUAACUUCGGGAAACCGGAGCUAAUACCGGAUAAUAUUUUGAACCGCAUGGUUCAAAAGUGAAAGACGGUCUUGCUGUCACUUAUAGAUGGAUCCGCGCUGCAUUAGCUAGUUGGUAAGGUAACGGCUUACCAAGGCAACGAUGCAUAGCCGACCUGAGAGGGUGAUCGGCCACACUGGAACUGAGACACGGUCCAGACUCCUACGGGAGGCAGCAGUAGGGAAUCUUCCGCAAUGGGCGAAAGCCUGACGGAGCAACGCCGCGUGAGUGAUGAAGGUCUUCGGAUCGUAAAACUCUGUUAUUAGGGAAGAACAUAUGUGUAAGUAACUGUGCACAUCUUGACGGUACCUAAUCAGAAAGCCACGGCUAACUACGUGCCGGCAGCCGCGGUAAUACGUAGGUGGCAAGCGUUAUCCGGAAUUAUUGGGCGUAAAGCGCGCGUAGGCGGUUUUUUAAGUCUGAUGUGAAAGCCCACGGCUCAACCGUGGAGGGUCAUUGGAAACUGGAAAACUUGAGUGCAGAAGAGGAAAGUGGAAUUCCAUGUGUAGCGGUGAAAUGCGCAGAGAUAUGGAGGAACACCAGUGGCGAAGGCGACUUUCUGGUCUGUAACUGACGCUGAUGUGCGAAAGCGUGGGGAUCAAACAGGAUUAGAUACCCUGGUAGUCCACGCCGUAAACGAUGAGUGCUAAGUGUUAGGGGGUUUCCGCCCCUUAGUGCUGCAGCUAACGCAUUAAGCACUCCGCCUGGGGAGUACGACCGCAAGGUUGAAACUCAAAGGAAUUGACGGGGACCCGCACGAGCGGUGGAGCAUGUGGUUUAAUUCGAAGCAACGCGAAGAACCUUACCAAAUCUUGACAUCCUUUGACAACUCUAGAGAUAGAGCCUUCCCCUUCGGGGGACAAAGUGACAGGUGGUGCAUGGUUGUCGUCAGCUCGUGUCGUGAGAUGUUGGGUUAAGUCCCGCAACGAGCGCAACCCUUAAGCUUAGUUGCCAUCAUUAAGUUGGGCACUCUAAGUUGACUGCCGGUGACAAACCGGAGGAAGGUGGGGAUGACGUCAAAUCAUCAUGCCCCCUAUGAUUUGGGCUACACACGUGCUACAAUGGACAAUACAAAGGGCAGCGAAACCGCGAGGUCAAGCAAAUCCCAUAAAGUUGUUCUCAGUUCGGAUUGUAGUCUGCAACUCGACUACAUGAAGCUGGAAUCGCUAGUAAUCGUAGAUCAGCAUGCUACGGUGAAUACGUUCCCGGGUCU
Molecule: ribosomal RNA, 1372 nt
Filed under: uncultured bacterium
Lineage: Bacteria
Description: bacterial SSU rRNA
Rfam family: Bacterial small subunit ribosomal RNA
Source: RNAcentral